This 1389-nucleotide ribosomal RNA is filed under the name Triticum aestivum (bread wheat). RNAcentral describes it as "partial small subunit ribosomal RNA". Lineage: Eukaryota; Viridiplantae; Streptophyta; Magnoliopsida; Poales; Poaceae. The record is from RNAcentral.
AUGGCAGCCCUCGCCUCCCUUCUCCGCCGCCGCAGCGGCCGCCGCGCCGACGUCCUCCUCCGCACGCUCUGCGCCACCGCCACUGCGCCCCCCCUCACGUCCUCGGCCGCCAAGACUCGCCUCCGCCGCGAGUACGACGCCGACCGCGCCGUCUCCCUCCUCGAGGCCAUCGACACCGCCUCCCUCUCCGCCGGCUCUACUCGCCAUGCGCUCUCCCUUGCCGCACGCCGCCUCACCCGCGCCGGACGGCAUGCUGAUGCCGAGGCGCUCCUCUCGUCCCACAUCCCAGCUUCCCCAACCGAGCCGCAUCUCUCGGCCAUCCUCUGCUCAUACGCCUCCGCCGGCCUCCCCGAGAAGGCCCUCGAAGCCUUCCGCUCCGCCGCGCCGUCCCUCCCGUCCCCCAUCUCGCCGAUGCCCUUCAACGCCCUCCUAUCGGCCUUCGUCCGGUGCCGCCGCCACCGCCGCGUCCCGGUCCUCUUCGAGGAGCUCUCCAAGGAGUUCUCCAUCACCCCCAACGCCAUCUCCUACGCCAUACUGGUGAAGGCUCACUGUAUGGUCCGCCAUGACGCCAAGGCACACGAAGUGAUAGCUCGGAUGCGUGAGGAAGGUAUCUCGCCGACCACCACCAUCUACACCACAAUGAUUGAUUCCAUGUAUAAGCAGAAGAAGGUAGAGGAGGCCCAGACUUUGUGGAAGCAGAUGCUGGAGAGCGGGUGCAAGCCGGACCAUGCAACAUAUAAUGUGAAGGCCAUGCACCACGGACUCAAUGGCAAGCCCGAAGGUGUUCUCCAGGUGAUGGCGGAAAUGGAGGCCGCUGGAGUAAAGCCAGACACCAUCACCUACAAUUUCCUCAUGACUGCCUAUUGCAAAGAUGGAAAGAUGGAGGAUGCCAAGGCGCUGUACCGUUCGCUAGGUGACAAAGGGUGCUCAGCGAAUGCAGCCACAUAUAAGCACAUGCUUGCAGCGCUGUUUGCUCAUGGCGAUUUUGAUACUGCCUUGGAGAUCUUCAGGGAAAGCAUGAGCAAGCACAAGGUGCCAGACUUCAAGACAAUGAAAGGAUUUGUUGAAGGAUUGGCGAAGGGAGGCAGGGUGGCUGAGGCGAAGGAGGUUAUUUACAUGGUGAUGAAGAAGUUCCCUGAUACUAUGCUGUCCGGAUGGAAGAAGCUGGAAAAGGAGCUUGGGUUCUGCUCAGAUAACGGAGAUACAACCCCUCAUGCAGAAUGUACAGCUGAAGAACCAGUCUCUGAGGCUGAGCCUGCUACCACCGAGGCACUUGAACUCAAAGAUUCUGCUGCUGAGGAAACAGGCGUGUCUGAAGAAUCUGAUGAUGAUGAAACGCCCUCACCUGAGACAUCCACUGAUGAGGAAGUGCCGAGGGGUCCUGCUUAA